Molecule: ribosomal RNA, 458 nt
Filed under: uncultured bacterium
Lineage: Bacteria
Description: partial 16S ribosomal RNA
Rfam family: Bacterial small subunit ribosomal RNA
Source: RNAcentral
CCUACGGGAGGCAGCAGUGAGGAAUCUUGGUCAAUGGGCGAGAGCCUGAACCAGCCAAGUCGCGUGAGGGAGUACUGCCCUAUGGGUUGUAAACCUCUUUUGUCGGGGAGCAAAAGCCGGACGUGUCCGGCUGUGAGAGUGCCCGAAGAAAAAGCAUCGGCUAACUCCGUGCCAGCAGCCGCGGUAAUACGGAGGAUGCGAGCGGUAUCCGGAUUUAUUGGGUUUAAAGGGUGCGCAGGCGGAUUUUUAAGUUAGCGGUAAAAUCGUGGGGCUCAACCCCAUCCAGCCGUUGAAACUGGGGAUCUAGAGUGUGCGAGAGGUAUGCGGAAUGCGUGGUGUAGCGGUGAAAUGCAUAGAUAUCACGCAGAACCCCGAUUGCGAAGGCAGCAUACCGGUGCACAACUGACGCUCAGGCACGAAAGCGUGGGUAUCGAACAGGAUUAGAUACCCUAGUAGUC